GAUGAAGAACGUAGCGAAAUGCGAUAAGUAGUGUGAAUUGCAGAAUUCAGUGAAUCAUCGAAUCUUUGAACGCACAUUGCGCCCCUUGGUAUCCCGAGGGGCAUGCCUGUUCGAGCGUCAUUGCUGCCCUCAAGCACGGCUUGUGUGUUGGGCUUCCGUCCCUGGCAACGGGGACGGGCCCAAAAGGCAGUGGCGGCACCAUGUCUGGUCCUCGAGCGUAUGGGGCUUUGUCACCCGCUCCCGUAGGUCCAGCUGGCAGCUAGCCUCGCAACCAAUCUUUUUAACCAGGUUGACCUCGGAUCAGGUAGGGAUACCCGCUGAACUUAAGCAUAUCAAUAAGCGGAGGA
RNAcentral lists this unclassified non-coding RNA (347 nucleotides) under soil metagenome. RNAcentral's name for it is "partial contains 5.8S ribosomal RNA, internal transcribed spacer 2, and large subunit ribosomal RNA". The stretch from base 1 to 120 matches the Rfam family "5.8S ribosomal RNA", at positions 35 to 154 of the family's 154-position model. The record is from RNAcentral.